GUUGGAAUUGCUAGUAAUCGCGGAUCAGCAUGCCGCGGUGAAUACGUUCCCGGGCCUUGUACACACCGCCCGUCACACCAUGGGAGUUUGUAACACCCGAAGUCAGUAUCCUAACCGCAAGGGGGGAGCUGCCGAAGGUGGGAUAAGCGACUGGGGUGAAGUCGUAACAAGGUAAC
Molecule: ribosomal RNA, 176 nt
Filed under: uncultured bacterium
Lineage: Bacteria
Description: partial 16S ribosomal RNA
Rfam family: Bacterial small subunit ribosomal RNA
Source: RNAcentral